AUAAACACUGCUCUGUGGCAGCAGACCUGAGCCGUCAGAUGGAAUCGGGGGGCGGCGGGGGGCCGCCGCAGCGUCUCGCACAGCAGCUUCAGUCACCGCCGACGAUGCACCCUCUGGUGGGAGCCUGCUGGGGACUAUUCCACCACUGCACACAGAGCACUUGGAAAGCCUCUGAAUCAAAGCAGUACUGGUCUUGAUGCAAAGCCAAUGGAAAUAUCUACAUUACAUUUAAUGGCCUCUGGAGCAAGCACUUACGGAAAUGUGAUGUCUUACUGGGCUGCUUGCUACAACCACACCGACGAAGAAAGCAGUGGCUGCUGUCAAGGGAGGACUGGCCUUGAAGACAUGUGACUUGAAAUCUGUGAUGGUUGUAGUCUUCCAGUACACGAGCGAGUGAAAUUUUCUUGUCUUGUCCUGUUCUGUGGUCUUUUUUUCCCCUCUUACUUUCUUUCUCAAAGGUGCACUGGUACACACAGAAUAAGGAGCUUAAAUUGAGCUGGUAGCAGUUUCCUUGUGAUAUCAGAACACUGCAAUACAGCUCUGUUUUACUCAGGAGAGUAGAAUGCUGCUGCUUUAGUGUCAGAUGCACUCUAUUGCGCCACUUGUUCUCUCCACCCAAAGACUUCAUUGAUGCUGAAUACUUGAAUAUGCUGGUGAGCAAAUGAGUCUGUACCUUUUGAAAAUAGUUACAGAAACUUAAAUAGUGAGCCAAAUGGAGGACUAUGAUCAGGGAAACGUGUUUGGUUUUUUUCCAGACCUUUAGACUGACUUCCUUAGUAGUAAUGAAUACAGUGUUACAUACAAACCUAACUUAGGAAAUGUUAAUUUGAACUGAAUCUUGUGGGUACAGCAUGCGCUAGAAGAAAUAUCAGUGUAUUGUUCUUCAACUUUUAGUUAGUGAAGGUCAGGAUCCACUUAGAAAUAGAAGGAAAGGCUGCUGAGAUAAUUCAGAAAUCCUGAGAAAGACUGCUGGAAAACACAGCAGUGAUGACUUAGAAAUGGAUUUGUGUUCAGAAUCACAGAAUGGCCUGGGUUGGAAGGGACCUCAAAGAUGAUGAAGCUGCAACCCGCCCGCAGGCAGGGCCACCAACCUCCACAUCUCACAGCAGCCCAGGCUGCCCAGGGCCCCAUCCAACCUGGCCUUGAACACCUCCAGGGAUGGACGGGGCAUCACAGCCUCUCUGGGCAGCUGUUCCAGCACCUCACUGCUCUCACAGCAAAGAAAUUCUGCAUCUGUAGAGCAGUGACAUAUUUACUUUUUUAUAUUUGGGAAAUGUGGAACUCUAUGUCAUGCUUUCCUAACUGUGAAAAUAUCUACGGCCAUCACACUGACAACACAAUAAUUCAGCAGAUCUGCAGAGGUCAGUCUUUGAAAUGUGUUUUGGUGUGUCUCUGUGCAUCAUUUGAGUCUGUGUAAGAAGCAAAUAAAUUAGUGUGGUGCAAUUCGGCCUGUUCCACACUGCAGUGUGUCAUGUUGAAGAAUCAGUGGGAAAAGUUGCCAGAAAAAGAUGUGUAGCGUUCUGAUCCCAAGCUGCCAGCUGCUCCUUGCUGAGAGCCUGCAGUGUUCUUGGAUUCACACCCACAGCUUCACUCAAAUACAUCGGUUAGCAGCUAAUACAGUUAAUAACGAGAAGGUGCCUCUUUAUUGCUGUUGUUACUGACAUUCUGAAUAAAUGUAGGCUACAGGGGUUCAUAUGGCAGCUUUGUUGGAAACAAGCGAAGGUAAAUGCUGUGGGGGUUGGCAGACUUCAUCUGCUGCCAUCCUUGGAGACACUGAAACCUGAUCUAUUGUCAGAGUUCCCUCACUUUGCGCAGGGGUUGCCAGAUUGCCUUCCACGGUUUCUUCCAACCAAAAUUAUUUUAUGAUUCAUGAUAACAGCAUUUUAGAAAAAAAAAAAGAAAAAGUUUGGCUUAUUCAUUUAUCCUCUGCUACUGCUGCUUUUCUGUGAGAAUGUCCCAUUUUGAGAAACGGCUUCACAAGAUUUCUGAUUUUUUACUGAUACAUUUAUGAGCAAUUUGUGCUCCCUUUGUACAGGUGGUGAAUUGGUCAAAAUCCAUGUGUUAUACAAACAAACAAACAAACAAACAAAUAAACAUUUCCCUUGAUUUUCUUAAUCCAAGCUGCAGGAUUUAUCUAACACUUCUGUCUUCUUACAAACAAUAUGAAUGCUGUUUCUAAGCUUUCCUUGGUAGAAUAAUAAUAGUAUCCUUUGAAAACAGGAAAAGUGAAAAGAAAAUAUUUACAAUCCUAAAUAAAACAUCUAUCCAGGCAGGCAACAGCUCUGACAAAGACAGGGGAUGUCCUGAGGCCGACAGAAGUCAGUGUAGUCAUGUGGGCAGUAAGAAUGGCAGGGAAGGGUAAGAACUGUCACUUUGUCUCUGAAUUGAAAGAAUUUAUCACAGCACUGUUAGUAGCUAACAGACUAAGUGCAAAUUAAAUAUGCUUCCAGGAAGACUUUCUCAGCUCAUUACAGUCUUUUUUUUUUUUUCCAAGCUUACAGAUGACCUUACCACUAUUUCCACAGAAUCAUAGCUAGGAUUGCAGAAUACCUGUGGCUGACUGGGACCUCUGCCAGAUGUUGCCCAGCAUAACCCUCCUGCUCAGGCAGGGGCAGAGAGAACAGGCUGCCCAGGACCACGUCCAGUUGAGUUGUAUCUCCACAGAUGGAGACUUCACAAGCUCUCUGGGUAACCUCUGUCAGUGUUCAACCACCCUCACAGCAAAAAAUUGUUUCCUUAUGUUCAGAAGGAGCCUCCCGUGUUUCAGUUUGUGCCUAUUGCCUCUUGCGCUGUAUUCAUACACACAGUAAGCCUGUCCUGAACACUUUCUCCCCGAGACAGAAGAGCCCCAUAUCUCAAACUCUGCUUAUUGCCCAGCCCAGGAAAGCAGCUCCCCAGGGCAGAAAGGUGCAACAAGCUUGUUCCUGCAAGAUUUCCAUCUUAUCUCAGACUUGUCGCCUUGCUGAAACUCUGUGAAACACAGAGGAAUUUCUCAGAGGGCUCAGUGUCCUCAGGAGCCACACUUGCUGCCUGCAGCCCUCCUGGCACGCUGUCCUUGGGACGCAGGAGGUGGAGGCUCUGGGCACAGCCCCGGCACGAGCCAGCAGCUCAGUGGGUCUCCUCUUGGAGGCUGCUUCUGGACAGUGCUCCCCUCAGAACUCCUGCCUGAACCAGCUUCUCCACUGCUGCCAGACAGGAGAAGCUCAGCUCAGCCCGGUUCAGCUGCUUUGGGCAUAUUUGGGACACGUCAGGUCAGAAUGUUACGUUUUUGAUAGGCACGGGUCAACUGUUCCAGACUGAAAGCAAGGGCGUGCUUCACUUGGUUUUUCAGUGCAGUGAGCAGUGAGAGCGGAGGGGUGAGAUCGGUCAGAAUACGGAGCAUCCUGGACACAUGGACAGUCUUAUUAUGUAUAAAAACAGUUGAAACUUAAAACUGAUUGGAAAAAAAGAAGUGACACAAAAAUGAGAUUCUUUUUGAUGACAGGAUUGACUUCCAUUAAACCAUCCACAGUUGAGAGCUUGCUGCCUUAAAGAGGCAAAUGGCAAUCUUGAUUUAAAACAAACAAAUAAAUCUCCCCUUUUUCCUGUUUGCUUAUGCCACUAUUCCCACUAUGUAAUCUGAGCAUAAAGGAAAGCAUGCUGCUAAACUUUCUGAAGCCUUCAUUUAGCAUCUGCAUGUAGAACUUUAAAAGAAAAAAUACAAACAAGUUGAACGUACAUAUGGAGACUUGGAAGAUUGUAUCACAGAUAAGGAAAACGCUUAGGAUUUUCUUUUUGUAUGUGUAAUGCCUUUGCAACCUACUCGCAACGUUAUUCCCUGCAUGAGGGCCCCCUAAUUAUUUCAUCAUGCAGCAGGAAAUUCUGGUAGGUCAUAUAUAAACAGCCCGAGGCAGGGACCUCUUCAUCAGAUAGAGCGUGACAUCUGACAUCUGCGCAGCCUGCCGCUCGCAUGCCACAAUUAGCCAGGCAGCCCCAGCACUAAUGCAAGAGCAACUGGGAGCGUGGGGCUAACCGGUGUGGCAAAGGUCUCCCCUAAUCCCGACAUAAACAUAGGAAGUGUCCCUUCCUAGGUCCACGUCCACGCCGAGCUCAGCAGCGGCGCAGUGCCGCCUGCCCACACGCUGCGGGGCCCCAGCCCUCCUUCACAGCAAGCUCUGCCCACGCGUGGGGAGAUGCACACAGCCCUCUGUAAGCUGCGUGCAGAGCCGGCUGUCUGCAGGAGCUGUGCUGCUGUGCCAAGGCAGCAGAGGAGCAGCGCAGUUACUGUGCCGUGCCUGGAGCAUGCCCUGGCACUGGGGCACCGCUGGGGACGGCGUGGCUCCACCAGCUGAGAGGCAGAGAUGUCACGGUGAGAAGCAGCUGGGAGCAGGAGACAGCUGACAAAUCAGCUGACUGUGAGGAAUCAGGGCUCUGUGUCACACACGAUCCACAAUUGCUAAUUUUUCUUUUAACCGUACUUAUAUUUUUAGUUCCUCUGUAAAAAAAAAAAAAAAAAAAGCAAAUUAUUUUUCCUAAAAUGAGUAAUGGUCAGUGGUAUUUCCUUGGCACAGAAAAAUGGCUCCUGAGAGAAAUUGUUGCAAGUAGCAUUCCAGGGAGAACUUUGAAGUAAGUGCAAAAGUGCAGGAAAAGCGUGUGCCACCAUGCUGCCCUCCAGCAUUUUUACCUGCAAUUCCCUGCUCUUCACCUCCCCUCCCUGUGCAGGCUUGCCCAGGUCCUGCCGUGAGCUCAGGAGGGCUGUUCAGCACUGCUGGCUCUGGCACUCGGUGAGCUCAUGUGCCUUUCUUGGAUGAAAGAGACCCCGGGAAAAACAAAGGAAAACUCCAAUUGAAGGAAUGCCUCAGGGAAAGAACAGUUCCAUAAGGUGACGUGUUUCUUCCCUCUGGUGUGUAUUUCCACAGCCUUCAAACAUACCACUCUCCUUCAUUCCUAUUAAUAUUGCUGUUGUUGUUCAGACUAUUGGUUUGUAUUUUCAUACACCAUGGCUGCAUUGAACUAAAACUUUUUUUUCCUGAAUGCAUUUUUUGUCUUCAGCCUUAAGUCCAGUCCUAGCAAAGCCUAUGUUUAGCAGUUUUCUGCGGUCUUUCAAAAUCUAUUUACAUAGGAAAAUGUUCUUUUAAUUAGUGUGCAUUUAAAAACAUGAUGAAUUCUACAAGAUUGAAGAAAUCGAAGGCAGCCUCUUAGGCUUGCUAUAGGACUGCUGGGCACGAGCUCUGCUGAAUCUCGCACUAAGGGUCUUCAUACAAACAAUUCAUAAUCGGUCUUUUGUCAACUUUCAGUCAUUCAGUAAUGCUUAGGAUUUCCUGAAAAGUCAACUUUUUUCUCCCCCCAGGGUAGGUGACCGAAUCAGGUUAAGUUUGUUUGCUGCAAUCAGCCAUUUUACAGUCAAAGUGUAUUGCUACUGAAACACCUAUUUUCCUCUGCUCUUCCCCAGCAUACUGUCUGCAUUAGCUGUAUUUAUAACAGCCAGUUCCUCGUUAACUUUUUUCCCAAGCUACCAUUCCCUUAUUAAAUCACGACAAAUUUGACUGUGAACUUUUACUUAGACAACUGUAGCACAGAGUAUUUCUUUCUGCAAUUUGUGGAAGUUUAAAAUCUAAUAUCUGUGAUGGAUUUUCUGUAAGCUUUCUGCUUACAGCUUAAAUAAUUGUGUUCUUAUCCUGUCUGCAUUCCUGACCUUGGUGGUAUUCCUCAACAUCUCUUUUUCUGUACGUUUAAUAAAGGGAAAUAUUCAACCUUAAAACUUUCAGAUUUGCCUGUCAGUGAAAAAAUAAAAAACCUACAACCUCUUUUACACAGCUCUUAAGGGGAAGUUCCCAUUUACUUGUAGCUUUCUCUGCUGUAUUUGCAGCCUAAGACCAGGACAUUUAGCUGGAAGCGAUGUCAUUUUCAUUUUUCUUUAAUCCAUAAGCAAGAACAGUGUCCUAUGAAUGUAAGGCUAAUAUUACCAACAGCAAAUGAUGGUGCACUGCCAAACUUCAAAGCAUUCAGUUUAUUGUCAUCUUAUUACAGAAUAGAUAACAGAUCAUUUCCCCCCUUCAAUAAACAUUGAAGCAGUAGUUGUCACAGGGGUGGGUUGGGAGGGAAUCCUCUCAAUCCAUUUUUUAAUUCACUUUUCUGUGCAGAAGGGAGCCAGCACGCUGGUCACAAACCGGUUUCCCCAGCAAGAAUUAUCUAAUGGAAAUUAAUGGCGUUCAAUUUGCUGUAAACGGAACAGUCCUGUAACUCUGGCAGUGAGCUUGUCACUUCGUGUGCUUUAAAAAACAUUCACUUUUCCAUUAUAUUUAGAAGAUACACCAGAGUCAUUGUUACGAUUCUUUCUGUCUUGCACUGUUCUGCCUCUGACAGCUCCUGGCAGGUAACUGGGGAAGCUCUGCAAGAACUGCCCCUAGGCCUUGUGGCCAUCGCUGUGGAGCCAUGUCAGACGAUUCCUUGACAGGAAGUGCAAAGUGGCUCCUUCACUGGAAGUGGGUCUUGAUUUGCGGGUGUUACCCUUACAGCCCCUCUCACAAACCUGGCUAUGAUGCAGGUGGGGACACAAUUCGAAAUCUGCUUUAAUAAGACUGAAACAAGUACAGUUUGCAUAAAUAAGAACCUCAGCUUAGGCUAUGAUCGCCGUUUUUGUUGCUUCUCCCUUUCACUGAUUGAUACACCUCAGACAUGGUGCACCAUGAACUAUUAUCAUGACAUGUGUGGGGUAAAAUUAACUUCUUUCCAGAGUAAUCCAGUGUGCAGUGUUUCUAGAAGAACUACAGUUAUUCUGUUAAUACUCCUCAAACAGUUUCUCUCUACUUUUCAUCCAUUUCCAAAAUAAUUUCCUUCUGUUGCUGGUUUCAUUCUAUGCUAUGAAGCCUUCUGCUGAAGUCUCAGGAGUUCAAGCCAUAGACUUUCCCCCAAGGAACUCAUGUUCUCCUCAAGUAAUUGCCUACUUGUAUGUUGAUCACUUCCAGAGAGCUCUCCUAAGUCUGCCCCAGAAACCUUAGUCUUGCUAGGAGAGGCUGAGCUGUUACUCUGAUUCCAAGCCCUGAUCCCCAAACCUUUGCACUGUAAAAUCUCGGUGCCUUCCUCUGCAGGCACAAAGAUUCCCAGGGGCCUUUUUCACAAGGUUCUUUUGUUGCUGGCCCUGGUCUUCCCUUAGUUUUUAGUGCAAAAGCAGAGGUCAUGUUUGAGAUCUGUAGCCUACCAGAACACAAAACUAUGUAAAUGACUUUUAUCUGAGGCAUGCAGGUAGAAACCUUGGGACUGUAUAAGGGCUUUGGGGUUGAUUUCUAUGUAAUGAGUUGGUUUCUUCUUCAGGCUUAAUUUCACAUUGAAAACAAAAUGUAACUGCCCCAUUAUAGACAUGAGCCAGGCACCCACUCCAAGGAGGCAGGGUACCAGGAGAGAGCUUUGCAGAAGGGGAGCAGGCUAGGGAAACACGGUCCUGACUCAGCAGAGCAGGAUAGCAGCAUUGCUAGAUGCUGCUGCAGAGCCAGAUACCCUUCCAGGUUGCUUGUUGUCUCCAUGUGGUUGGGCAAGAUGGCCUUUGGCAGUGCAGAUAGCUGCAUGCAUUGUCCAGGUAGAAAACACGGGGAAGCAGCAUUACUGUCAGCACAGGAGAGAGGCCAAUACUCAGCCAAAUGUGAGCUCUAACAGGCCAUGAUGGCCCUGACCUGCCUUGUUUAGGGCUCACAACCACCCUCCUGCCCAUGGGACCAGGAGUCCCACUUAAACUCGGGCCCUGUUCUUCAGUCUUUGCCUGAAUGAUAUUGCACUGGUGCUUUUCUGCUGGGUAGACCUUCAGGCCGUGCUGCAGGUAGCUUGUUACCUGAUCAGAUCUCAAAUGUAAACUGAAGCUUAUCUCCAAUCCAGUCUUUGGCUCUGUCUCCUGGGCAGGCUUGAACUCACAUGGUACGCUUGUUUCCAGUCCUGUCUCUGGGUCCGUCUCCUUUUGAUCCUGAUUGAAUUCCCUUGCUGGAUGUUGGACUUAAUUAAUCUCCAUGCCUUGUCUGGGGCUGUCAGUAGAUGCAGUUACCAGCCCCUGGCUCUCUUCGUGUGCCAUGAGAUUGCACCAGUAUCACCCUCAGCUCAUUCCUGGUAUGUGAUUGCUGCUCCCUGCAGCCCUGUCCCAGCACAGCUUUUCCUGAUGCAGGGGCAGUGAGGGCUGCUGCGGCCAGAUCUGAGGACAAAAUACAAAGAGAACAAGUAACUAUGGGAGACCUGGGCUUGGUGAGGCUGAACAUGAUGAGCUGUGUACUCUUCUGUACUCCUUGCUCUUAUGUGCGGAGGAGAGGCUGAGCAGUGUGGAGUUCAAAGCUGCCAUCUCAGGAAACAGCGCCAAGAAUGACGCACCCUGUGGAAAAUAACAAAGCCAAAGGCAACGUCUGUCAUCUGCAAACAGCUGCAGGUUAUGUCUAGGCAGGACUGUGUAGGUGCUGAGGAGAGAGCAUGGCACAGGUGGAGGGGAUGAGAGAAGGAGCAGACAAGAAGACCGCUGAGCCGGAGGCGGUUGGUCCUGGUGUGGGCUGCAGGCUGCCACAGGCCUGGCUGUUUUUCCAGGUGCAGGAGGGCAGCUGCAGUGCAGCGCUGAGAUCUCCUGUUCUGGCUCACAAAAAAUGACAUUUGUAACAGGUACCCGCUGCUGAUUAUGAGCUCAGUCCUUUGCAUGGGAUACAUCCAGUGAAAAGGCAGCAGUUUCAGAAUGCAUCUUUCUGGCAUGGAGCAGGACAGAGUCAUGCUCCUUAAAGUUGCCUCAACCAAAGGCAGAGCCCACAGCUGAAGCAACUUUGCCUGAUUGGAUGUGGGUCAGCUGGUGAUCAGAA
Molecule: long non-coding RNA, 8798 nt
Organism: Tympanuchus pallidicinctus (lesser prairie-chicken)
Lineage: Eukaryota; Metazoa; Chordata; Aves; Galliformes; Phasianidae
Exons: 3
Source: RefSeq, a predicted model, not a curated record